GACGGGGGAUGCAAGCGUUAUCCGGAAUCACUGGGCGUAAAGCGUCUGUAGGUGGUGAUGCAAGUCACUGGUGCAAAACUCUGGCUCAACCGGAGGAAAGCCAGUGAAACUGCAUGACUAGAGUGUGGGAGAGGUAGAAGGAAUUCCCUGAGUAGCGGUGAAAUGCGUAGAUACAGGGAAGAACACCGGAGGCGAAAGCGUUCUACUGGAACACAACUGACACUGAGAGACGAAAGCUGGCGGAGCGAAAGGG
Molecule: ribosomal RNA, 253 nt
Filed under: uncultured bacterium
Lineage: Bacteria
Description: partial 16S ribosomal RNA
Rfam family: Bacterial small subunit ribosomal RNA
Source: RNAcentral